CAUGGUUGUCGUCAGCUCGUGCCGUGAGGUGUCGGUUAAGUCCCAUAACGAGCGCAACCCUUAUCGUUAGUUGCCAGCUGGUAAAGCAGGGGACUCUAGCGAAACUGCCACCGUAAGGUGAGAGGAAGGUGGGGAUGACGUCAAAUCAGCACGGCCCUUAUGUCCAGGGCUACACACGUGUUACAAUGGCCGGCACAGAGGGCAGCUACCUGGUGACAGGAUGCUAAUCUCGAAAACCGGUCUCAGUUCGGAUCGAAGUCUGCAACUCGACUUCGUGAAGCUGGAUUCGCUAGUAAUCGCGCAUCAGCCAUGGCGCGGUGAAUACGUUCCCGGGCCUU
Molecule: ribosomal RNA, 338 nt
Filed under: uncultured Sphingobacteriales bacterium
Lineage: Bacteria; Pseudomonadati; Bacteroidota; Sphingobacteriia; Sphingobacteriales
Description: bacterial SSU rRNA
Rfam family: Bacterial small subunit ribosomal RNA
Source: RNAcentral